RNAcentral lists this long non-coding RNA (1164 nucleotides) under Prunus persica (peach). RNAcentral describes it as "long non-coding RNA (PPER_LNC002758)". Lineage: Eukaryota; Viridiplantae; Streptophyta; Magnoliopsida; Rosales; Rosaceae. The record is from RNAcentral.
UGAAUUGCAAAUGCUUCCUCUCGUGCCUUGUCCGCUUCAUCUCUUUUCAAGUCUCUCUCAAUUCUUAGUGAGGUGUUCUUAGCUAUUUGCUCCAAUAAUUGUACACAUUCAUCGUUCGGAGUGCCCCCUCUCUUAGCCUUUGCCGCCUUUCUCCCAACAGGUCUCGGCGGACAUGGGAGUGGUGACUCCGUUUCCAUUGGGGAGUCUAAUGGCGAAUCGUGGAGCGGCGUCUCAUUCAACACAACCGGCAGAACGGUGGGAAUAAUUUUGAAUCUCGAACAAUCCUUCACAACUUCCCAACAUUGGAAAUGCACGAAAUUUUUUUGCCUUGCCCUGUGGCACCGAACCACAUUUGUGUUUGUAUGAUCUAUUAAAAAUAAAUAAUUGGACGUGCAAGAAAAAAAAAUAUUAUGCAAGAAAAUAUAAACUAUUUUGAAAUGCAAGAAUAAAAUUGAUUAUGCAAGAAAACAUAGACAAAUUGGAAAUGCAAAAAGAAAAAAAAAAGGUUAUGCAAGAAAAAGAAAUAGAAUAUGCAAUAAAAAAAAAAGUUACAUUAAAUUGAUUAAAAUGGCAAUUAUAAAUAUUUUACCUCAUCGGAUAGAUUUUGACCGCUUCGAAUGUUCUCCCUUGCUUUUGUCAAGGCAUUUCUCCAUUUCCCUAACUCUUUAUUCAAAAGUUUUCAUCUACUAGACACGGUCAUUUCAAUCUGAAUGGAACCCGAUCUUUGACAAAAUUCUCCAUAAAUUUUGCUCCACAUAUGAUGGAACUUCAUCUCAUUGCCCGUGAUAGGGUCAUGACUAACGUUCACCCAAGACUGACACAACGCAAUAUCUUCCGCAGUUGACCACGAGCCUCCGGUUUUGACAGAAGAUGCCUUUUUUUUUUUUUUAAUACAAAUGGAAAGUAGUAGAAAAAUGUGAGUGGAGAGUAAAAAAUAUUGGAAGGAAAAGAGUUUGUAUGGAGAAUUGGUGUGGAAAGAGAAAAAUGUGAGUGGAAAGUAAAAAAUAUUGGAAGGAGAAUAGUUUGUAUGGAGAAUUGGUGUGGAAAGUGAAAAAUGUGAGUGGAGAAUAAAAAAUAUUGGAAGGAGAAUAGUUUGUAUGGAGAAUUGGUGUGGAAAGUGAAAAAUGUGAGUGGAGAAUAAAAAAUAUUGGAAGGAGAAUAGUU